RNAcentral lists this long non-coding RNA (2320 nucleotides) under Pelobates cultripes (western spadefoot toad). Lineage: Eukaryota; Metazoa; Chordata; Amphibia; Anura; Pelobatidae. The record is from RNAcentral.
CCCAGGCAAAGUGUGCUAAGUCUUUGGUAAAACAGAUUGCUGUGACACAAGCUGAGAUUUUUCAAGUAGCCCGCGAGGAGCAGUAAAAAGCCACCCAGGGACUACCACAGGAAAUCCAAGCUUUCUCUGAAAAGCUGAAUGGAGACCCUGAUGGAAGAUAUCAGGGGCCAAAGGUGAUUCGGGCGAGCCACUACCUUCAGAAAAUAACUGCAUCAGAUGAUGUUGAGGCAUACCUUCUGGCAUUUGAACGCACUGCUGAGAGGGAGGGAUGGCCGGCUGAGCGGGCAAGCAUACUGGCACCAUUCCUAAGUGGAGAGCCACAGAAGGCAUACUAUGACCUAGAACCAGCGGAUGCAAGUAACUACAGCAAAUUGUAAGCUGAAAUCUUGGCACGACUGGGUGUAACCCCUGAAGUACGUGCCCAAAGGUUCCAUUCAUGGUCAUAUUCUUCUGAUAAAGCCGCACGUUCCCAAAUGUUUGACCUCAUACACCUCGCAUGGAAAUGGCUGCAACCUGAAAUCCAUUCAGCUAGCCACAUAGUGGAAACCUUUAGUAAUGGACCGGUUUUUGCAUGGUUUACCAGGUGCCCUGCGUCGCUGGGUCAGCCAAUGUGAUCCCCAUACAGCAGACCAGCUGAUUGCUUUGGUGGAAAGAUAUGUGGCUGCAGGAGAACUGCUACGUCCCCCUUCACAGGAAAACCCCUGCAAUCCUAUGCCCAAGAUUCUACAAGACCUGGUAAGACUGUUCAAGGUUUAAGGGGAGCCGAAGAGCUGCAGCUCUAUAUACAAAACACCAGGGACAAUACAUCAAGAACCAGGGGGGCAUUCAGGUCUAACAGGCCUGGGAGAGGAACUAAUUGGUGGUCAGAUUGUACUGUCAUAUGUUUCAAGUGCAAAGAGGAUGGUCAUAUGGCAAAGGACUGGAUGAAUCAUUGAAGGACGAACCUAUGGAAUGCAAUAUGGGCAAAGAUGAGGGAGCACAUUCAUUUUUGUUCAACUGUUAUGGUGCUGUUAACAAUGACCAUGAUAAUAACCCUCAUAAAUGCUAUGCAACUGUCAAUGGAAAAAUGUCUAAGGCAUUACAUGAUUCAGGUAGUAUGGUUACGUUGGUAGCAGAGUCUAUAAUACCUUGUGUAAAACCUGAUCAUGUUAAGAAAAUAGGCAUUAUUUGUGUCCAUGGUGAUAAAAGAGAAUACCCCACUGCAGAAGUAAAUAUUGGAACCCAGUAUAGAGAUUUAAAGUACCGAGUGGGUGUAGUACCUAGAUUAGCCCAUGAGGUAGUGAUCGGUAGAGACUCCUCAUUUUCUAGAAUUAUGGGCAGCUGUACAAAAGACAAACCAAAGUUUAUCAGAAAUUAGUCAAUCUGCCGAGGAUAAUGUGUUCCCUUUUACCGAUAUUGACUUGGGUUUUGACCACUGUGACAGACAAAUAAGAAAAAGUAAAAGAUACUGCCCUAAACCAGUAUUAUUAGGAGAUAACCCAGCUCAAACUAGUGAGGAGCCUACUAAUACUUCAGACAAGGACGAUGACUUAAUUGAUAUUGGCAUCAGUCCGAGUAAUUUUAAAAGCGCACAGUGGGAAGAUCUCACUUUAGUGACAGCUAUAAAUGAUAUUAAUCAGCCAGGUGAAGCACUGCCGUUCCCCUAUUUUGAAGUACAAAUGACCUAAUUUACAGCGUAGAAAAGAAGGAUUCAGAUAUCAUUAAGCAGCUGUUGGUUCCCCAGACUUACCAAAACACAGUACUAAAGUUGGCUCACAGCCACAUAUUAGGGGGACACUUGGGAGUCGAAAAAACGAGAGAGAGAGUCCUUAGAAGGUUUCACUGGCCUGGAGUUUUUGCUGCUAUAACAAACUAUUGUGCCUCAUUUCCUGAGUGCCAGUACAGGACUCCUUUCAAGACUUUUCAUAGUCCACUUGUACCCUUACCCAUAAUUGAUGUGCCUUUUGAAAGGAUCGCUAUGGACUUAGUGGGGCCACUGGUAAAGUCCGCUAGGGGGCACUAGUAUAUACUAGUCAUCUUGGACUAUGCAACUUGCUACCCUGAGACCAUCCUCUUGCGUAAUACCUCUGCAAGGUUAAUAGCUAAGGAACCUAUGUUAAUGUUCAGUAGGGUGGGUAUCCCUAAAGAAAUCCUGACAGACCAGGGGCUCUUGCAGGUUAAACAUCUGAAGACCUCAGUAUAUCACCCACAGACUGAUGGUUUAGUACAGAGGUUCAACAAAACCCUUAAGAGUAUGCUAUGUAAGGUAACUGAUGCAAAUGAAAAAAAUUGGGAUUUUUUUUAUUGCCAUAUCUACUGUUUUCCAUUAGAGAAAUUCCAC